This 490-nucleotide ribosomal RNA is filed under the name uncultured bacterium. Its description in RNAcentral is "partial 16S ribosomal RNA". It matches the Rfam family "Bacterial small subunit ribosomal RNA", at positions 30 to 507 of the family's 1533-position model. The record is from RNAcentral.
AUUGAACGCUGGCGGCAGGCCUAACACAUGCAAGUCGAACGGUAACAGGAAGCAGCUUGCUGCUUUGCUGACGAGUGGCGGACGGGUGAGUAAUGUCUGGGAAACUUCCCGAUGGAGGGGGAUAACUACUGGAAGCGGUAGCUAAUACCGCAUAACGUCGCAAGACCAAAGAGGGGGACCUUAGGGCCUCUUGCCAUCGGAUGUGCCCAGAUGGGAUUAGCUAGUAGGUGGGGUAACGGCUCACCUAGGCGACGAUCCCUAGCUGGUCUGAGAGGAUGACCAGCCACACUGGAACUGAGACACGGUCCAGACUCCUACGGGAGGCAGCAGUGGGGAAUAUUGCACAAUGGGCGCAAGCCUGAUGCAGCCAUGCCGCGUGUAUGAAGAAGGCCUUCGGGUUGUAAAGUACUUUCAGCGGGGAGGAAGGGAGUAAAGUUAAUACCUUUGCUCAUUGACGUUACCCGCAGAAGAAGCACCGGCUAACUCCGUG